GGCGCGGUAAUACUCCUACGGGAGGCAGCAGUGGGGAAUAUUGGACAAUGGGCGAAAGCCUGAUCCAGCAAUGCCGCGUGAGUGAUGAAGGCCUUAGGGUUGUAAAGCUCUUUUACCCGGGAUGAUAAUGACAGUACCGGGAGAAUAAGCCCCGGCUAACUCCGUGCCAGCAGC
RNAcentral lists this ribosomal RNA (174 nucleotides) under uncultured bacterium. Its description in RNAcentral is "partial 16S ribosomal RNA". It matches the Rfam family "Bacterial small subunit ribosomal RNA", at positions 323 to 515 of the family's 1533-position model. The record is from RNAcentral.